AGAGUUUGAUCAUGGCUCAGAGCGAACGCUGGCGGCAGGCCUAACACAUGCAAGUCGAACGAACUCUUCGGAGUUAGUGGCGGACGGGUGAGUAACACGUGGGAACGUGCCUUUUGGUUCGGAAUAACUCAGGGAAACUUGUGCUAAUACCGAAUGUGCCCUUCGGGGGAAAGAUUUAUCGCCAUUAGAGCGGCCCGCGUCUGAUUAGCUAGUUGGUGAGGUAAAAGCUCACCAAGGCGACGAUCAGUAGCUGGUCUGAGAGGAUGACCAGCCACACUGGGACUGAGACACGGCCCAGACUCCUACGGGAGGCAGCAGUGGGGAAUCUUGCGCAAUGGGCGAAAGCCUGACGCAGCCAUGCCGCGUGAAUGAUGAAGGUCUUAGGAUUGUAAAAUUCUUUCACCGGGGACGAUAAUGACGGUACCCGGAGAAGAAGCCCCGGCUAACUUCGUGCCAGCAGCCGCGGUAAUACGAAGGGGGCUAGCGUUGCUCGGAAUUACUGGGCGUAAAGGGCGCGUAGGCGGAUCGUUAAGUCAGAGGUGAAAUCCCAGGGCUCAACCCUGGAACUGCCUUUGAUACUGGCGAUCUUGAGUAUGAGAGAGGUAUGUGGAACUCCGAGUGUA
Molecule: ribosomal RNA, 623 nt
Filed under: uncultured bacterium
Lineage: Bacteria
Description: bacterial SSU rRNA
Rfam family: Bacterial small subunit ribosomal RNA
Source: RNAcentral